AUUUAGGAUCAGUGCCAAAGAAAGAACAGACCCCAGUCAUUUGUGAUUUAUCAGGAUAGGCAUAGCCCAAGAAAAGACAAAAUAAGCCAUCUUCUGUAGAGUGAAUGAGAUGUUCUCACUGUUUUCAAUUCUUUUGUUUUUGAAUCAAUCAUCCAGGGUCCAUACGGAGACAAUCUGUUGAUGAUUCUUCUCUUAAUAAUGGGGAGAUUGUCUCAGUAUUUUUGAUAGCGUUUCUGUCCUUGCAGUUUGAGAUGUCUCCAUGGCCUUUAAAAUUGGAGGCCUUUAAAAUCAAGAUGUGAAAAUAUUAAACCAGAAUCAACGGGAAGUUUUCAUGAAGAUAAGGCAAUAAAAUGUAGAAUCUAGAUAUUAACCAUGGAUGCUUCCUUUCUAAAAACCUAGUAGACCUUUACUUCAGUAGAUACCUAGCUUCUUUCUUCUUAAGGCGUAAAACUCAUAUUUAAUCUGGUGAGCAACGAGAUCUCAGUUCCCUGAUGAUGCUUCACUUUCAGAUCACUGCCAUCACCUCUUUUCUCUCUUUUCUCCAUCAGAUCCAAAUGCAGAUGCUCAGAAGGCUUUCUGGUGCAUAUUCUUCAAUUUCAUAAGUAACAAAAAUUGUUACUUCAUAAAAGGUCCAGGACAGAAGACAGAAAAUGCAAACAAAUCUUUAGGUAAACGAAAAACAUGUUUCCCUCUAUGUCAUUAACCUGAAAGUCCAUCCUGGGGCUUCCAAGUGAAUAAAGAAAGUACUUCAGUUAAUGAAUGCAGAGGAAGAUCAGGCCAAAAAACUGCACAAGUGGAAAAGACAUUGUGGUUUGGAGGGAGAAAAAAGUGCUUUUAUACCUGGGCUUCAUACAAAACUAUGGGACGAUUUGGAUAUUUUCAUUUCAGAUUCUGGCUGGAAAAUUAAGUCAGCUUCACUGGGAGCAAGACAAACACAUUCUCUACUUUGGAGGAGCAUAUGUGAACAUUAGUGAACUACAAGCUGAAAUAGCUGGUGAGUAG
RNAcentral lists this long non-coding RNA (1002 nucleotides) under Numida meleagris (helmeted guineafowl). RNAcentral's name for it is "lncRNA (ENSNMEG00000010186.1)". The record is from RNAcentral. Lineage: Eukaryota; Metazoa; Chordata; Aves; Galliformes; Numididae.